ACCCCACAUACCUUCCAAGUAUCCAGGAUGCAUAAUGUUACCAAGAAUACUGAGAUCCCAACCUCCCCACUACCACAACCACCAGCAUUGCUCUGUGCGAAAUCUCUUUUUUGGAUGUCUACAUUGUCGUUUUAAAAAUACUGUCAGGUUUAUCAAAGUUAACAAUCUAAUGACAUUUUAAGUGAAAUUUCAAAUUUAAGGCCAAAAUAUCCAAAAUUCAAAGAAUUCUCUGAAAAAGAAAAACAAAAUAUACUAAUACACAAUCGAGAGGAUUGCAGACCUAUUUGCGCCCUUAGUGAAACAAUUAUGUAAUCUCUGCAAAUUAAUGGAACUGCAGUUUGGGCGGAGACCCACUGAAAAUGUAUUAUGGGCUAUGGCUCGCCCAGCUCACGGUCUUCCUGGUGGUUCCUUUUCUAAUGAAAAAUACAGAGUAAGAGCGACAAGUGUAGACAUGUUCACACAAGGUAUUGAUGAUCAAGAGCCCUUGAGCGUUUGUCUGCAUUCUGUAAUGAUAAAUUGCUUGCAACAACACAUAUGGACACUAUAGGAUUACUGAUGUUUGUUGCCACAUCGCAACAGUUACUGUAGAAAUAAUUACAUAUCAUGCUUAAAAAUACUGUUCAGCAAGACAAGUUGAACAUAAUCAACUAAUAAGACAUAUUAGUUGAUGACAUAUUUAUAUAACAUUGUUUGACAAACUCGGUCAGCUAUUGUGCUAGUGUAUUGUUUAUGUAGUAUUUUUAUAUAGCACCUUAACAAUAUUCCUAUAACCAGCUUAAAAUAAAUAAGAUUUUUUAUGAUAAAAGAUGGCUGUUGAAGCUCCUAUCUGGCUAUUUGAUUCUACAAAUAUUUGUCAGAUUUAUGCCAGUAAUUUUUUUAAUUAAUGCUGUUGUAACUUUUCUUGUAUAUGAAUGUUGAAGUAAAAUGUUUUCUAUGUCAUUUUCAAA
Molecule: non-coding RNA, 947 nt
Organism: Pelobates cultripes (western spadefoot toad)
Lineage: Eukaryota; Metazoa; Chordata; Amphibia; Anura; Pelobatidae
Source: the annotation of a GenBank genome assembly